Molecule: long non-coding RNA, 1038 nt
Filed under: Oncorhynchus kisutch (coho salmon)
Lineage: Eukaryota; Metazoa; Chordata; Actinopteri; Salmoniformes; Salmonidae
Description: lncRNA (ENSOKIG00005001938.1)
Source: RNAcentral
AUGGCUCUCUCUGUCUCUAUGCCUGAGUGGGACCUAUUAGUGUUGAACAGAGGUGUGUGUGUGUGUGUGUGUGUGAGAGCGAGAGCUGUUGUGGCUGCAUCCAUUUUUAUGUUCCUUUUGCGGUCAAUUAAUAAAAAAAACAGUCUUCUGUACACUGCGUGUGCUACAGUCAUGGUGUGUGUGUGUGUACACUCUGCGUGUGCUACAGUCAUGGUGUGUGUGUGUGUACACUGCGUGUGCUACAGUCAUGGUGUGUGUGUGUGUGUGUGUACACUCUGCGUGUGCUACAGUCAUUGUGUGUGUGUGUGUGUACACUCUGCGUGUGCUACAGUCAUGGUGUGUGUGUGUGUACACUGCGUGUGCUACAGUCAUGGUGUGUGUGUGUGUGUGUGUACACUCUGCGUGUGCUACAGUCAUUGUGUGUGUGUGUGUGUACACUCUGCGUGUGCUACAGUCAUGGUGUGUGUGUGUGUACACUCUGCGUGUGCUACAGUCAUGGUGUGUGUGUGUGUGUACACUCUGCGUGUGCUACAGUCAUUGUGUGUGUGUGUGUACACUCUGCGUGUGCUACAGUCAUUGUGUGUGUGUGUGUACACUCUGCGUGUGCUACAGUCAUGGUGUGUGUGUGUGUGUGUGUGUGUACACUCUGCGUGUGCUACAGUCAUGGUGUGUGUGUGUGUGUGUGUGUGUACACUCUGCGUGUGCUACAGUCAUUGUGUGUGUGUGUGUGUGUACACUCUGCGUGUGCUACAGUCAUUGUGUGUGUGUGUGUGUGUGUGUGUGUGUACACUGCGUGUGCUACAGUCAUGGUGUGUGUGUGUGUGUACACUGCGUGUGCUACAUUCAUGGUGUGUGUACACUGCAUGUACUACAGUCAUGGUGUGUGUGUGUGUACACUCUGCGUGUGCUACAGUCAUGGUGUGUGUGUGUGUACACUCUGCUUGUGCGUGUGUUUGGUCUGAUUGUAGGAAGGUGGUCAUCUCCAUUGAAGGCAUCAUUACAUGUUUUAAUUGUUUCCCCCCUAUGACUGUGUGCUAG